GUUAAAACAUAAGAGGUCCAGCCUGCCCAGUGACAAAGUUCAACGGCCGCGGUACCCUAACCGUGCGAAGGUAGCAUAAUCACUUGUUCUUUAAAUGAGGACUAGUAUCAACGGCAUCACGAGGGUUAAACUGUCUCCUCUCUCCAAUCAGUGAAACUGAUCUUCCCGUGAAGAAGCGGGAAUAGCCAUAUAAGACGAGAAGACCCCAUGGAGCUUUAAACCCAUCUACACUCCUAAUUUUUACUUCUUUAUAGCCCUAGGACACUGUACUAUGGUUUUAGGUUGGGGUGACCGCGGAGCACAACUAAACCUCCACGAUGAACGGAGAAAUCCCCUUAUCUAAGAAUCCCACUUCCAAGAACUAGUAUUCUAACAUUAAAUGAUCCGAUAUUCGAUCAACGAACCAAGUUACCCUGGGGAUAACAGCGCAAUCCACUUCAAGAGCUCCUAUCGACAAGUGGGUUUACGACCUCGAUGUUGGAUCAGGGUAUCCCAGUGGUGCAGCAGCUACUAAAGGUUCGUUUGUUCAACGAUUAAAACCCUACGUGAUCUGAG
RNAcentral lists this ribosomal RNA (555 nucleotides) under Mantidactylus sp. SIH-2003. Its description in RNAcentral is "partial 16S ribosomal RNA". It matches the Rfam family "Bacterial large subunit ribosomal RNA", at positions 1837 to 2609 of the family's 2925-position model. The record is from RNAcentral. Lineage: Eukaryota; Metazoa; Chordata; Amphibia; Anura; Mantellidae.